AUUGAACGCUGGCGGCAUGCCUUACACAUGCAAGUCGAACGGCAGCGCGGGGCAACCUGGCGGCGAGUGGCGAACGGGUGAGUAAUAUAUCGGAACAUACCCUAGAGUGGGGGAUAACGUAGCGAAAGUUACGCUAAUACCGCAUACGCACUAAGGUGGAAAGUGGGGGAUCUUCGGACCUCAUGCUCAUGGAGUGGCCGAUAUCUGAUUAGCUAGUUGGUGAGGUAAAGGCUCACCAAGGCGACGAUCAGUAGCUGGUUUGAGAGAACGACCAGCCACACUGGAACUGAGACACGGUCCAGACUCCUACGGGAGGCAGCAGUGGGGAAUUUUGGACAAUGGGGGCAACCCUGAUCCAGCAAUGCCGCGUGAGUGAAGAAA
This 381-nucleotide ribosomal RNA is filed under the name uncultured bacterium. RNAcentral's name for it is "bacterial SSU rRNA". It matches the Rfam family "Bacterial small subunit ribosomal RNA", at positions 30 to 413 of the family's 1533-position model. The record is from RNAcentral.